UUCAUUUAGGUGAGAUAAGGUUGUAGGUUGGCUAGGUCAUGCUGGCCUGAGCAUCAUGGGAUUUUAAACUAAAUGUAAAUGAAAUAGGCUGUUAUCUUUCUUGAACUAAAUGAUCCCCUUCUAUUUCUUUCACAUAAAACCUGUGAGUUUAUACAGGUUUAAUUUUUUUCAAUAAAUUAUGUAAUCAGGUACAAAAACACUCUGAUUCACUGCCUGUUUCAUCAAGGCCAGUUUUUUAAAGAAAGUGGCGUUUAUUCCAUUAAUUAUACCAAAAGGUUCAAAUUAGUCUGAAGAUUGAUAACUCAAGGCAAACCAUUUAUCAAAUUGAUUGUAAAUGUAAAUUUUCUUCUAAAUAACACACAAAUGAAUAAAACAUAUACAGGUUGUCAGUCUGUGGAUUAUGGUAAGCCCUUUCUGAUUACAAGUCAAUUAACAUUUAGCCGUAGGUGACGAAAGUGAACAAGUCUUUGAAUUAUUGAACCGAUUCGUUCAAAUCACUGAUUCAUUCAGGAACGUCACAAUUAUGUUUUGCUUGGAGACGUUCGGUUCGCUGUGGUUACCUUUUCGCUGGCAGAGUAAAUUAAAAUAUUGUGUUUAAAACAUCUUAUGAGAACAGAGCAGAGAAAUAUGUGUGAAUCAGCUGUUUGGUGCUGGACGAAGUGACUAGCUUUUCGCCUUCAGAAAGUACGAGUUGUGUACAAAAAGAUAAAGACAGAGAGAACAGCACUUUGGCCUUCACAGAGACUGGAAGAGACAAGUGCCUGUGGCGUUGUGUUUGGACACACCCACGGAGUGGACUCUGUUGGGCCGAAAGAAAAGGUCACAGAAAUGUCAUGCAGUCAUGUCCUUGAGACGAGGUGGAAGAGAUGCGAUUGGGCCCGGACCCGUCAUCAUCAAGGAGACAGGUGGCCAAGGAGGAAUCGGUCACUAAUGCGGUCGGCUAACUGUGUCAAGGACGCAGAAGCCAAACCUGGUGCAGUUCACCUGUGAGAGACCUGAGAGCACGAACGCAGAGAGGAACUGACCCACUAAACCAACUUACAACUCUACAGUCUGCACUCUUCUUGAAAUUAAAGCAGUGGGAGACUGAUGAGUCCACCUGGACUCCCUGGUGUGUGAGAUGUCCCUGUGAGAGUGAAACACACCGUCCACUCCGCCUCACUAAGUGUGUGUUUGGAGUCAGAGGCACAAUCCACGCUGCUGUGCCCACAGAUGGUCACACUACAGGAGCAAAAUUUUUUUCUGUCUCCCAAUGGUGUCUCCCAAUGGUUUUUUUUUUUCAUUCUUGAGAGAGAGAGAAACAAACACAUUGUCUGACCUAGAAUGCAUACAGUGUGGUUAACAAGCCUUAUCAAUAUUAUCAUGACAGGUUAAAACUGCAUUAUUUUUAGGAGGCAAUAUCAGCUUCUCAAGUUCACACAGGUAUCCUAAGAGAAUAACCUUGUGUAUCUUCAUAUGAACCCACUGUAAAUAUCCGGUUUAAGUUACAGUUAAAAAGUAAACAAAUAUGGCAGCUGCGGUUACCAGAAAUUCACUGCAAAACAAUUACAGUGAACAUUUCCGGUAUUACUGGAAUACACUAAAAGACAAAACGCCAACAAAUGUGACCCAUAAACAUCCGAUAAGCAUUAGCCAUAUAAAAUCAAAUUUAACAUAAGACACCCUAAUGUAUUACUGAUUAGAAAUAUAAAAAUCAAAUGUUAUCAUAUGUCGUGUUAAACAGACAUGCUCCACUAACAUUUGGCAACCAGAAAUUAAUUCCACAGAUUUAAUGUUAUUAUUAUUAAAGACUGUGUAAAUGUAUUAUAUUAUAUUAUACUGUAAACAAAUGAUUUAUGCAAUUUUGUUAUUUUCUAUCAAUAAUAUAAUUAUACUGUGUGUAAUGUAGAGACUCAUUUUCAAUGUAAAUUAUAUGGUCAGUUUUUACUUGCAAAAACAAUAAAAUUACUCAAACAUUUUUUCACUGUAUAUGAUAAAGGAACCUCUAGUUAAAUGAUCAAAAUAUUUUUACUGUAUCAUUUUAGACACAUUCCAGUAACAUUUGGCAACCAAUAAUCGUCCAAUUAGUUUUCUUAACAAACUUCUAUCUUUGUGAACUGUUUUGUUUAAUGUGCUUAUACUAUAUAUCUUUUAAAUAAAUGUUAUAAAAAAAAAGUAAUAUACUAACACUUCUUAGACUUAAAGGUGUGGCUUAAGCGUCCAAAUGCAACACUUUGUGAACUUAAGGUUUUACUUAAAUCAUCCAUCGUGUUUCCACAAAUACACAAAUUGCAACAGGAUGUGUCCUCAAAUGCCUUUUGGUUCUUGCCUGAGUGAUUAUAUACACACAGCUUGCUUGACCUUGAGAGACUGAACUAUCUUCUAUUCAAGCCUUUUGAACACGCACCAUUGCUCGCGUAGGAGGGUCUUGAUUGGUUGCAGAACAUAACAUCAGCAGUGACAUCAUGAGCUGCCAGUGGUCAUUAAGUGGUCAGUACGGCCAGCAUGAGCUAUUUGAAUGAACAUGAUAAUUAUAGAUAAUGUUUCUCUAAAAGUGUCACAGAUCAAUUCUAGCUUCUAACAUUAGAGAUCUUUGCGUCUAUAAAUAUUUUACUGUAGUGGCAGUCCCUUCCUAUUCCACUCCUUUGACCUUCCUUAUAUAAAUCUUUUUUGAAGAAGUGGAAUUACUUAAUCUAAUUAUAUAGCAGUCGUGCGGUUUUUAAUAAGCCUUAUAUCUGAGUGACAUUGCCUGCCAUUCACUGAGACACUGCUCUGUAUCUGCUCUUUCAGCCUCAUUCUUUUUGUCAGACACACCGCAUUAACCUGGUUUUCUUGCAGUGCAUUAUAAGUAGGUCAAGCUUAAGGUCAAGUAAUGUUGCAUUUAGCUUUCAAAUCAUGCAGCGUUGUUCACCUGGAUAAAAGCAUGACAGCAUUUGUUGCCAGUGAAGAGACUACAUUUUAUAUUGAAUGAUUUAAAUUAAAUGUGAUUCCUCAUUUUUACGCUUGUGAGAACAUCACGUCCCGUGCAUGCCCUUGUGUGUGUGUCAUUCGGCCUGAUUUUGAGGUCUCAGAUUGGCUGUGUCUCAAAACAGUGAGCUGCCUUCCUUCCUUGAAAGCUUUUUAGGUUUAUGGUGUGAUCGAUGCUGAUGCUAUUUUAUAUCUUUAUUCAGUACUAGUAUCAGUAAGAAAUACUAAUUCUAACCACCACGUGCCUCUAACAUUUAGACUACUGGUUGAUCAUUAUGGGUUUUUCUUUGACCAAUUGUUAAAUCUUUUUAAAAACCCAUAAAUCCAAAAAUACUGUCAAAGCCAGAAAAAAAAAGAAGCAAAAAGCGUGGCAAAUCAUACAUAACAAACCUUCAGUUUAGUGUAUUUUGCAUUUAAAGAUAUAUAAUAAACUACAGACUCAAAUAGUCUAAAUAAAAUAAUAAUUUAAAAGUGUAUUUUGGAUGUUUAUAUUCCACUAAUCUGAAACAACACGAUAUGGAAGACCAAAUAGGUCAAAAUCUCAAAAUUGACCAGUUCUUGAAUAAAAAAGGUUUUUGCCUGUAGUCUCUUGCCUUAAUGGAGUAUAGAUUUUCUUUUGGAGUUUUGCACACUGUGUGUCUACUUUUUUGUCAAAAAUUAUUUUCUUUUUUUUCCCCAGUACCCACGUAUGACUUGCGUAGUCUUGCUUUUGUUACAUGUAUGCGAUGAAUGAGUCAGUGAACCGGUGUUGUGGCCAGUCAUUAAGUAUAAACACGAGCGCUGUGAGAGCAAGCCUCUGAAAUAACACCGCAAUCACUCUCUACUGAGUGCAUUCAGAAAUGCUUUGACAAUCUCACACUCCCUUGCUUCGUGGACAUUUAAAUGUGCUCACUGCUGCCCGGGCAAACUUAUUCUAAAGGUCUUACUUAUUAGCCAGAAAAAGUUUGCCUUUCAUUUUCACUCUUUAAUCACCUUGCAUAUUACCAUAUGCAAAGUAGAUUAAUAAAUUCAAGUUAAUAAGGUUGUAUUGUUAGGGAGAAGUAGGUCUUAUGAACUGGAACUAGCGCAUACGGACACUUACAGACAUGCGUAAAUGCUAGGAUACUGAAAAGUAAAGCCAUCAUAAAAUACACUUAAUAGAUGAAGCUCAACAGUUUAUCUCAUACAGCACUUGUAGCUAGGACAUAGUUGAAAACUGCGGUCAGCCUCAUAGUCUUAAUGUAAUAGCCAUUCCUCUCUCGUUCUACUUUCUAAACAGCCUGUACAUCUGGGAGCUGCUCUAUAUAUUAUUAUUGGGCUCCAUGUUUUAUUAUUGUGAACCCCCAAGUGAGCCAAUGGCAGGCCAACCAAUGUCCUCAUGUCCGAUAAAAACUGCCCACAGUUUAUAUCAUCUGUGACCACCUGGUUUAUAAUGUAUGUUCUGUAUAAUGCAUUUAUUUUUUUAUGGUGUGGCUGUCUAUAUACACAUCCACUCAUGUGUAGAUCAUGGAUACGAUGCGUGUUCUAGUUUGUCUGUGUAUCUUGGUCCUUAUUUUUGUCAAGCAGAGUGAUUGACACACACACACAUUCUGAAUCUGACCUGUACUUAUUUAAAAAUGUAAAAUAAGGUUUAAAUUGUCUUGCAUAUUAAAUGAUUAACUUGAUGCUGACAAAUGGGUAAAACCUGUGAUUUGAAGAAUAUAUCUGCAUAGUGGUUUGAAGGAUAGCAAUUAAUGAUAAAGAUUUAAAAUGACAAUUUUAAUUAGUUUUUAGCCCUUUAAUACAUUAAAUAUAGUAUUUUUAAUGUAAUUGAAUUGUUCUAAG
Molecule: long non-coding RNA, 4749 nt
Organism: Carassius gibelio (silver crucian carp)
Lineage: Eukaryota; Metazoa; Chordata; Actinopteri; Cypriniformes; Cyprinidae
Exons: 5
Source: RefSeq, a predicted model, not a curated record